UCCCUGAUGGCUGAGUGGUAAAGAAUCUGUCUGCAAUGUGGGAGACCCAGGUUUGAUCCCUGGUUCAGGAA
This 71-nucleotide transfer RNA is filed under the name Ovis aries (sheep). It matches the Rfam family "tRNA". From Rfam's summary of the family: Transfer RNA (tRNA) molecules are approximately 80 nucleotides in length. Lineage: Eukaryota; Metazoa; Chordata; Mammalia; Artiodactyla; Bovidae. The record is from Rfam by way of RNAcentral.